UCCGACCCACUAUUUCUGCUGAGUGUGUGUGCGCAUUUUUGUGCUGUUGGUGGUUAAGGGUGGUCGUUUGGCGAGGAAGAUGAGGACAUGAGGUUUCUUGGUGGAGCAGUGGUUGUUGGGUGGUUCGACGGAAGUUUCAGUGGUGAAGGGGAGGGAGAUGGCGGUGUCGUGGCUAGAGUCGUUUGGCCGGGCGGAUGGUUUCCGGCGUGGUUAUUGUAGUGUCGCUGGUGUUUUUGGAUGAGUCGAGAGGUCGUUUGGGUGAGUGUGUUUCCGGCAAGUUUUUG
Molecule: long non-coding RNA, 284 nt
Filed under: Nicotiana benthamiana
Lineage: Eukaryota; Viridiplantae; Streptophyta; Magnoliopsida; Solanales; Solanaceae
Description: long non-coding RNA (NBEN_LNC006443)
Source: RNAcentral